GCGGUCGUGGCGAAAUUGGUAGACGCACUACUUUGAGGGGGUAGCGGAGAGAUCCAUAUGAGUUCAAAUCUCAUCGACCGCACCA
RNAcentral lists this transfer RNA (85 nucleotides) under Sutterella sp. RNAcentral's name for it is "tRNA-Leu". It matches the Rfam family "tRNA". Rfam says of the family: Transfer RNA (tRNA) molecules are approximately 80 nucleotides in length. Their secondary structure includes four short double-helical elements and three loops (D, anti-codon, and T loops). Lineage: Bacteria; Pseudomonadati; Pseudomonadota; Betaproteobacteria; Burkholderiales; Sutterellaceae. The record is from RNAcentral.